AGUGGCGGACGGGUGAGUAACGCGUGAGAAUCUACCUUCAGGACGGGGACAACAGCUGGAAACGGCUGCUAAUACCCGAUAUGCCGAAAGGUGAAAAGUUUUUUCGCCUGGAGAGGAGCUCGCGUCCGAUUAGCUAGUUGGUGAGGUAAAAGCUUACCAAGGCGACGAUCGGUAGCUGGUCUGAGAGGAUGAGCAGCCACACUGGAACUGAGACACGGUCCAGACUCCUACGGGAGGCAGCAGUGGGGAAUUUUCCGCAAUGGGCGAAAGCCUGACGGAGCAACGCCGCGUGGGGGAAGAAGGUUUUUGGAUUGUAAACCCCUUUUCUCAAGGAAGAACAAAAUGACGGUACUUGAGGAAUCAGCCUCGGCUAACUCCGUGCCAGCAGCCGCGGUAAUACGGAGGAGGCAAGCGUUAUCCGGAAUUAUUGGGCGUAAAGCGUUCGUAGGCGGCUGUUCAAGUCUGCUGUCAAAGACCGAGGCUCAACCUCGGGUAGGCAGUGGAAACUGGAUAGCUAGAGGUCGGUAGGUGCAGAGGGAAUUCCCAGUGUAGCGGUGAAAUGCGUAGAUAUUGGGAAGAACACCGGUGGCAAAAGCGCUCUGCUGGGCCGAACCUGACGCUGAGGGACGAAAAGCUAGGGGAGCGAAUGGGAUUAGAUACCCC
This 663-nucleotide ribosomal RNA is filed under the name uncultured bacterium. RNAcentral describes it as "bacterial SSU rRNA". It matches the Rfam family "Bacterial small subunit ribosomal RNA", at positions 94 to 788 of the family's 1533-position model. The record is from RNAcentral.